This 96-nucleotide small RNA is filed under the name Arabidopsis thaliana (thale cress). Its description in RNAcentral is "ATSL027260". Lineage: Eukaryota; Viridiplantae; Streptophyta; Magnoliopsida; Brassicales; Brassicaceae. The record is from RNAcentral.
UAGUGACUUGUGCUUUAUAAGAUAAACUAGAUUUUAACCCGCGGUAUACCGCGGGACAAUUUAUUUUUUAAAAGUAAUAUAUAUUAAAAUUUGUAA